RNAcentral lists this transfer RNA (69 nucleotides) under Elliptorhina chopardi. RNAcentral describes it as "tRNA-Gln". Lineage: Eukaryota; Metazoa; Arthropoda; Insecta; Blattodea; Blaberidae. The record is from RNAcentral.
AUAUAUUUGGUGUAUGAUGCACAUAAAUUUUUGAUAUUUAAGGAUUUAGUUUAAUUCUAACAAUAUAUA